RNAcentral lists this ribosomal RNA (242 nucleotides) under Trichoderma sp. RNAcentral describes it as "partial large subunit ribosomal RNA". Lineage: Eukaryota; Fungi; Ascomycota; Sordariomycetes; Hypocreales; Hypocreaceae. The record is from RNAcentral.
GGUUAAAUAGUACGUGAAAUUGUUGAAAGGGAAGCGCUUGUGACCAGACUUGGGCGCGGCGGAUCAUCCGGGGUUCUCUCCGGUGCACUUCGCCGCGUCUAGGCCAGCAUCAGUUCGUCGCGGGGGAACCAGGCUUCGGGAACGUGGCUCCUCCGGGAGUGUUAUAGCCCGUUGCAUAAUACCCUGCGGUGGACUGAGGACCGCGCAUCUGCAAGGAUGCUGGCGUAAUGGUCACCAGCGAC